GACCCCAUAGGGACCCAUACGGACCUAUAGUGACACACUGACCCCAUAGAGACCCCAUAGGGAUGCACUGACCCCAUAGGGACUGACAGGGACACACUGACCCCAUAAGGAUGACUGACCCCAUAGGAACCCCAUAGAGACCCCAUAGGGACACACCGACCCCAUAGGGACCCUAUAAGGGGGGGCACAGCGGGCGGAGCUGCGCCGGCAUCGAGGCGGAGAGCCUGGCCCUAUUUCAUGCAGGGUCGGUGGCGGACGAUUUGGGGUCGGGGUCCCUGGAGGUGCCUAUAGGGCCGCCCCCCCCCCACCUGCACCCCACAGUGCUGCCGUGGGACGACCCCAAACCCCCCCACCCCAAAACGAGCCGGAUGUUGGGGGCGGCCGUCAGGGGGGUCCU
RNAcentral lists this long non-coding RNA (397 nucleotides) under Phasianus colchicus (ring-necked pheasant). Its description in RNAcentral is "lncRNA (ENSPCLG00000017291.1)". Lineage: Eukaryota; Metazoa; Chordata; Aves; Galliformes; Phasianidae. The record is from RNAcentral.